Small nuclear RNA from Erinaceus europaeus (western European hedgehog), 107 nucleotides. The record is from Ensembl. Lineage: Eukaryota; Metazoa; Chordata; Mammalia; Eulipotyphla; Erinaceidae.
GUGCUCACUUCAGCAGCACAUACACUAAAACUAAAGCAAUACAGAGAAGCUUAGCAUGGCCCCUGUGCAACGAUGACAUGCAAAUCCAUGUAGCAUUCCAUAUUUUU